This 391-nucleotide long non-coding RNA is filed under the name Strongylocentrotus purpuratus (purple sea urchin). RNAcentral describes it as "uncharacterized LOC115928082". The record is from RNAcentral. Lineage: Eukaryota; Metazoa; Echinodermata; Echinoidea; Camarodonta; Strongylocentrotidae.
CUGUCGCCGUUUCUUCUCGCCUGUCGGCUCGGUCACCAGUCCAUAGUCGAGUUCUUAUUCUACAAUGGUGCAGACUUGUGUCAGACCAGUGCUGUGGACGACUUGAAUUGCUUGUCCUUAGCCAUCAUGUAUAGGCGAGUGGAAACUGCGAAGUUCCUUGUGAUCCAUAUGGAAUACAAGGACCUCUUGUUCUUGAUGAAGACAGUGUCACGUGACCUGACCUUGGGAUGUCAUGCCGAAAGAAUGUCGACGCCAAUGAGACAGUUGAUACAGUACAUGCCUGAUGUAGCAGAAAUUGUAAUGGACAGAUGUAUCACGCUGAUUGAAAAUGAUGAAGUCAAGUUCGAUCUUGAACUUCUAGACGACUACUACUCACCUUGGGCUCUGCAAA